RNAcentral lists this unclassified non-coding RNA (250 nucleotides) under plant metagenome. RNAcentral describes it as "partial contains small subunit ribosomal RNA, internal transcribed spacer 1, and 5.8S ribosomal RNA". The record is from RNAcentral.
GUAGGUGAACCUGCGGAAGGAUCAUUAUUGAAUAUUCUUGAUGGGUUGUAGCUGGCUCUUAGGGGCAUGUGCACACUUGUCUUGACUUUAUUCAUCCACCUGUGCACCCUUUGUAGUCUUGGGGGUUGAGAGCAGUCGACUAUCGGAUGGCUAUGGCUUUUCCGGACAUGAGGAUUGCUGAGUGCGCAAGCAUACAGCUCUUCUCAAAUGGCUUGCAAAACCUCUCCCUCGAGUACUAUGUAUUCAUAUA